UACGGAGGGAGCUAGCGUUGUUCGGAUAUACUGGGCGUAAAGCGCACGUAGGCGGCGCCGUAAGUCAGGGGUGAAAUCCCGGAGCUCAACUCCGGAACUGCCCUUGAAACUGCAGUGCUAGAAUCUUGGAGAGGCGAGUGGAAUUCCGAGUGUAGAGGUGAAAUUCGUAGAUAUUAGGAAGAACACCGGUGGCGAAGGCGGCCCACUGGUCCGGUACUGACGCUGAGGUGCGAAAGCGUGGGGAGCAAACAGG
RNAcentral lists this ribosomal RNA (253 nucleotides) under uncultured bacterium. Its description in RNAcentral is "partial 16S ribosomal RNA". It matches the Rfam family "Bacterial small subunit ribosomal RNA", at positions 524 to 776 of the family's 1533-position model. The record is from RNAcentral.